GGGGGUAGGGCCUCAUAAGGCCCCAUCCACUUCUGAGGAUCUAGAGGCAGUUAAUGGUUGCUGGGGGAGGGAGAGACAUUUUCUUUUGGUGUAAUUACUGAAGUGAAGAGCAGCCUCCAUUUCUGCUUUGACACUCUGCUCAAGCAAGCAAGACCAAGCAAUUAAGAAUUGAACACUCUGAAACUGUAUUUUUAAAGCCACAUACCAGCAGCCAGCAAAUAUUUAACCAACUCCAGGUGUCCCUCUUGAGAAGCCUCCAUGAGAGGUGUGGAGCAGCCAAGUUCUAUGUCAGCCCCUGCCUUAAUCAGAAAAUC
Molecule: long non-coding RNA, 314 nt
Organism: Myodes glareolus (Bank vole)
Lineage: Eukaryota; Metazoa; Chordata; Mammalia; Rodentia; Cricetidae
Source: RefSeq, a predicted model, not a curated record